Molecule: long non-coding RNA, 1170 nt
Filed under: Struthio camelus australis
Lineage: Eukaryota; Metazoa; Chordata; Aves; Struthioniformes; Struthionidae
Description: lncRNA (ENSSCUG00000002597.1)
Source: RNAcentral
AAAUAGAUAAUGGAUGAAACCAUCGUCUGAUGAAUAUUGUCCAUAAGAUUAUCACAAGCAACUGAGUUGAAUUAAAAUGAUGUUUAUACAUGAGGAGAUUUUCAUUUCAGAAUGUAGUCUGUACAAUAAGAAGAAUCUGUGGAUUAAAUGCUGAGAUUCAGAGACAAGAAAGCACAACACAAAGUGUUGCAAGUUCAUGGGCCUUUGCCUCUGAGUUAGUUGCUGUGUAUAAAAACAGAAAUCACACUGAUUCUGCCCAGAAUUGCUGUAUUCUCUCUGCUUGCUUCAUUUGGAGGCACUGCAAUUAUGUCUAAGAGGAUCUAUUUCCGCACCAUAUAAUUUAAUUACCUUUUCCCAUAGGCCAACGUAUGAGAUGCGACAUCCAGUUGCUAAAAUGGUGACCUUUAGCUUCCAUGGACCAGUGAGGGAUACACGUGACUAGCAUGUGAUUAAUUUGGUCUUCUGGUCUGAGCACUGGUUUCUCUGGAUCCUGGUAGGAAGCACAAGAAGAAAGCGUGUCCAUUGUUCUUCAUGACAAAUACUGAAGAUCUUUCCUAGGAUUGUUGGAAUUACAUUAAACACAAGAUUUAAAAGAAAAAGAGAAAUGGCUGCUUUAAAUGACACCAUGGCUGCAGUUAACAGAAUUGGGUAGGCAUGGACUUCAAUGGAAAGCUGUACCUCUGAAGGAAAUAUCCUUCUUUCUUCAGGCCAUUGCCAUGACAUUUCAGAUCAACUUCAUUUACUUAUCACAAAAGGAUCUCAGUGGGAUUUUCUGUUUCCCUCUUACUGCCUCCACUAAAGGAGAACGUCUGUGCAAUUCUGUGAGUUUGUCUCCCAACCCUCAAGACUGUUAUGAGUCAACUAAGAGGUCUUAUUCUGUUCACAGUACUGGGAUAUUUAAGCAACUUCAGUUCGUGUUUUAAACAAUUAGAAAAUUCACAGCUCAUCCAGACUGAAGUUUCUGAAUUCUGUAAUAAAGGCACAUAUCUCAGUGCAAGUCACCACUCCAACUUCCUGAAAGCACAAAGAGACCUUCCCUCCUCCAGCAAAUAUUGCCAUACUUCUGUGCCCUCUCUCAUCUUUGGAGUAAUACAUGAGCUUUUUUACAGUAGGUUUGGUUUUCAAAGCUAGGUUUAAAAAUAAACCAGAAGAGAGAACAGAUGGGCUCCA